GGCAGUUCUUGGGUGAUGCACCCUGGAAUCGGGCUCCCUCCUCUCUGGUUCUGGGUGUGUCACCCGAGAACCGUA
Myotis brandtii (Brandt's bat) is the source of this 75-nucleotide non-coding RNA. The record is from Rfam. Lineage: Eukaryota; Metazoa; Chordata; Mammalia; Chiroptera; Vespertilionidae.